RNAcentral lists this long non-coding RNA (1204 nucleotides) under Homo sapiens (human). Its description in RNAcentral is "novel transcript". Lineage: Eukaryota; Metazoa; Chordata; Mammalia; Primates; Hominidae. The record is from RNAcentral.
GCUUCUCGCUGGAGUGCGCACCGAGCGGCAGUGACUUCGCCGCUGCUGUAGUUCCCCGGCUGGAUGCGGUGACUGGUGCCAGUGCUCAGGCGCCCGCUGCCCUUGACCUCCCGCCCCGCGAGCCCUAACUCAGCGCAGGAGGACCGGCUGCCGCCGCCGCCGCCGCCAGAGCCUUGGCUGCCCAGUUGCCAGUCCUACCACGGUCGGAGGUAACCUUCCUGGCUCCAGUCACAUGGCCAGAUAAGGUGGUGUGUGUGGGCAUGAAUUAUGUGGACCACUGCAAAGAACAGAACGUGCCCGUGCCCAAGGAGCCCAUCAUCUUCAGCAAGUUUGCCAGCUCCAUCGUGGGGCCCUAUGAUGAGGUGGUCCUCCCACCACAGAGCCAGAUCCACACAACUUAAAGAUCUGCUGUCGAGUGAAUGGGGAAGUGGUCCAGAGCAGCAACACCAACCAGAUGGUAUUCAAGACAGAGGACCUGAUAGCCUGGGUGUCCCAGUCUCUGAAGGUCCAGACAGCACUGAUGGCGAGCUUUGGGUCCGCACACUCUGGAAAGAAGAGAGAAGUGAAGGCUCUAGGUAGGGAGAACAGAGAGCCACUGGGCACAGGCUUCUCUCCUCUUGUUUAAAGAAGCCCAGGGAGGGAUAGAGCUCUGACUGGACAGAAGACUGUACUCUGCAGCCUGCCUUCCUAGAGUUGGGUUGUCACUGUCCUGCAGGGGGCAGCAGCCACCAGCAAACACCACUGCCUGCAGGAGCCUGGGCUGACUGGUUGGGACUCACCGAAGAUCCCUUCUUCCUGGGCGGUGGCCUGCAGGAACUGGAACAGCUGCUCUGUGUAGCCCAACUCUGCAGAAGAGAGAAGACCUAGACCUGGCACCCAGCACAGACACAGCCUGCCUCGAGGACUGCAAGGGAACAAGGGCCUCACCAGUAUCGGGCAGCUGGCCCUGGCGGAGGAAGGCGGCAGCCUGUGCAAAGGCCUUGAGCAGCGGGCUGAGCAGGCGGCAGAGGAAAAGAAAGAAAUCUGGGCAGUGUGACUGCUGGCUGAGCUGGAGGGGACAGGCCGGGGUGAGUGCAGCUCCCCACCGCCUCCCUACCACCUCCCUCCAGGGGCAGCUUUUUGAAACACACCCUGAAGUACCGGCCGUCAGCCUCUCCGAAGUCAUCACUGUCACUAUCAGUAAAGUCCCCACUCGGUUUCCACA